This 274-nucleotide ribosomal RNA is filed under the name uncultured bacterium. RNAcentral's name for it is "partial 16S ribosomal RNA". It matches the Rfam family "Bacterial small subunit ribosomal RNA", at positions 523 to 796 of the family's 1533-position model. The record is from RNAcentral.
AUACAGAGGGUGCGAGCGUUAAUUGGAAUUACUGGGCGUAAAGCGCGCGUAGGCGGCUGAUUAAGUCAGAUGUGACGUCCCAGGGCUCAACCUUGGAACUGCCUCUGAUACUGGUCAGCUAGAGUUUAGGAGAGGGAAGUAGAAUUUCAGGUGUCGCGGUGAAAUGCAUGGAUAUCUGAAGGAAUACCAGUGGCGAAGGCGGCUUCCGGGCCUAAAACUGACGCUGAGGUGCGAAAGCGUGGGUAGCAAACGGGAUUAGAGACCCGGGUAGUCA